GCCCUCGUAGCCCAACGGCAGAGGCCCGACGUUGAGGACGUCGGUUGGUGCGCGUUCGAAUCGCGCCGAGGGCA
RNAcentral lists this transfer RNA (74 nucleotides) under Actinoplanes sp. ATCC 53533. Lineage: Bacteria; Bacillati; Actinomycetota; Actinomycetes; Micromonosporales; Micromonosporaceae. The record is from Rfam by way of RNAcentral.